GAUGAAGAACGCAGCGAAAUGCGAUAAGUAAUGCGAAUUGCAGAUUUCAGUGAGUCAUCGAAUCUUUGAACGCACAUUGCGCCCGCCAGCACUCUGGCGGGCAUGCCUGUUCGAGCGUCAUUUCAACCAUCAAGCCCUAGGCUUGCGUUGGAGCCCUGCGGCUGCCGCAGGCCCCUAAAAGCAGUGGCGGGCUCGCUAUCACACCGAGUGCAGUAGAUUACUCUUCGCUCAGGGCGUGUGGCGGGUUCCAGCCGUGAAACCCCCUACUUCUCAAGGUUGACCUCGGAUCAGGUAGUAAUACCCGCUGAACUUAAGCAUAUCAAUAAGCGGAGGA
Molecule: unclassified non-coding RNA, 334 nt
Filed under: soil metagenome
Description: partial contains 5.8S ribosomal RNA, internal transcribed spacer 2, and large subunit ribosomal RNA
Rfam family: 5.8S ribosomal RNA (bases 1-120)
Source: RNAcentral